UGGGGAAUAUUGCACAAUGGGGGAAACCCUGAUGCAGCGACGCCGCGUGAGUGAAGAAGUAUCUCGGUACGUAAAGCUCUAUCAGCAGGGAAGAAAAUGACGGUACCUGACUAAGAAGCCCCGGCUAACUACGUGCCAGCAGCCGCGGUAAUACGUAGGGGGCAAGCGUUAUCCGGAUUUACUGGGUGUAAAGGGAGCGUAGACGGCAGCGCAAGUCUGGAGUGAAAUGCCGGGGCCCAACCCCGGAACUGCUUUGGAAACUGUGCAGCUCGAGUGCAGGAGAGGUAAGCGGAAUUCCUAGUGUAGCGGUGAAAUGCGUAGAUAUUAGGAGGAACACCAGUGGCGAAGGCGGCUUACUGGACUGUAACUGACGUUGAGGCUCGAAAGCGUGGGGAGCAAA
This 400-nucleotide ribosomal RNA is filed under the name uncultured bacterium. RNAcentral describes it as "bacterial SSU rRNA". It matches the Rfam family "Bacterial small subunit ribosomal RNA", at positions 355 to 772 of the family's 1533-position model. The record is from RNAcentral.